GGGGCGCCCGUGGCCACCGAAGCGGGACCUUGGUUCCUUGGGGGCCACAGCUGCGCGCUCCCCGCUGUACCCACCGACUGGUCCCCCGGGUCCCCCAGGCCGCAGUGACACUCAGCUAUCACUCUGGGCUCACUUAAUCUGGAGCCCCUUUCCCUUCUUCGGGGAACCUGCAGAGUUUUGGCAGCAGAAGGAAAGGUCUCUCCACCGCUCUCCCCUGGUACCAAACAGGCGAACUUGUUAGGUUGCCCUGGGAUCUCAAGAGGGGCUUGUGAGUCGGUGUUCUGGUCAUUUCUGGCUCCGGAGCCGGAUUGAACAGGUGAGGAAGCUGAGGCUAGCAGAAACAAGAGGUGACCACAGACCCGUCUGAUCACAUUCUUGCAACCUUUCUUUGGUGCCUGACACUUCCCAACCACAUGCUAGAACCUGGGAAAGAAAAAAGUUGCAACAUGAAUAGGCCACCCAUCACUACCAACUACAGAUGACUUGCCAUUUCAUUUAUAAAGAUGUCGUCAGCUGCUGAAAAUGGAGAUGCAGCUCCUGGAAAACAAAAUGAAGAAAAAACCUAUAAGAAGGUAAG
Non-coding RNA from Ictidomys tridecemlineatus (thirteen-lined ground squirrel), 577 nucleotides. Lineage: Eukaryota; Metazoa; Chordata; Mammalia; Rodentia; Sciuridae. The record is from RefSeq and is a predicted model, not a curated record.